RNAcentral lists this long non-coding RNA (422 nucleotides) under Ananas comosus (pineapple). Its description in RNAcentral is "long non-coding RNA (ACOM_LNC044876)". The record is from RNAcentral. Lineage: Eukaryota; Viridiplantae; Streptophyta; Magnoliopsida; Poales; Bromeliaceae.
UGUCCUCCGAUCAAAUGUUUUUAUCCUUAGGGCUUGUUUGGUUCAAUGGUGGAAUUGAAAUAGAUAAUGGAAUGGGAAUGAAUUAGAAUGGUAAUUGGAAUGACCCACUCCUCCAAGACGUUUGGUUUAUUUGUGGAUUGGGAAUUGGAAUGAGUUAUUCACAUUUCAUUGUUUGGUUCUUAUAAACUAAAAAAAUUAUAGGAUACUAUAAUACUAAUUUUACUCUCAAAUAUAAAUUUAUAUUAUUUAAAAUUUAUGAAAAAUAUAAUACUAUUCUCUAAUAAGUUUUCCAAAAAAAAUAUCAAAUUUAUUUUUAAAAACUUUUAUUGAUGUGGAUUAGGAAUAGAGUUUUGAGAGAGGAUAGGUUUUUUUUUUUUUUGAUGAGAAAGGGGUGAAGAGAAGGAGGGUGAAAUGGUCACAUG